This 429-nucleotide ribosomal RNA is filed under the name uncultured archaeon. RNAcentral's name for it is "bacterial SSU rRNA". It matches the Rfam family "Archaeal small subunit ribosomal RNA", at positions 474 to 903 of the family's 1478-position model. The record is from RNAcentral.
CACCAGCCCCUCGAGUGGUGGGGAUGAUUAUUUGGCCUAAAGCGUCCGUAGCCGGCCGGGUAAGUUUCCCGUUAAAUCCAGCGUCUCAAGCGUUGGACUGCGGGAAAUACUGCCUGGCUAGAGAGUGGGAGAGGUCAGCGGUAUUCUGGGGGUAGGGGCGAAAUCCUUUGAUCCCCGGAGGACCACCAGUGGCGAAGGCUGCUGACUAGAACACGUCUGACGGUCAGGGACGAAAGCUGGGGUAGCGAACCGGAUUAGAUACCCGGGUAGUCCCAGCCGUAAACGAUGCAUGCUAGGUGUUGGGUUGGCCACGAGCCACCCCAGUGCCGCAGGGAAGCCGUUAAGCAUGCCGCCUGGGAAGUACGAUCGCAAGAUUAGAAACUUAAAGGAAUUGGCGGGGAGCACCACCAGGCGUGAAGCUUGCGGUUU